This 509-nucleotide ribosomal RNA is filed under the name uncultured bacterium. RNAcentral's name for it is "bacterial SSU rRNA". It matches the Rfam family "Bacterial small subunit ribosomal RNA", at positions 8 to 518 of the family's 1533-position model. The record is from RNAcentral.
AGAGUUGAUCCUGGCUUAGGACGAACGCUGGCGGCGUGCCUAACACAUGCAAGUCGAACGAAGCUCCUGAGCGGAUCUUCGGAUGAAGCGAAGGAAGACUAGUGGCGGACGGGUGAGUAACGCGUGAGCAACCUGCCUUUCAGAGGGGGAUAACAGUUGGAAACGACUGCUAAUACCGCAUAACAUAUUGGAGUCGCAUGGCUCCGGUAUCAAAGCUGAGGCGCUGAGAGAUGGGCUCGCGUCCGAUUAGAUAGUUGGUGGGGUAACGGCCUACCAAGUCGACGAUCGGUAGCCGGACUGAGAGGUUGAACGGCCACAUUGGGACUGAGACACGGCCCAGACUCCUACGGGAGGCAGCAGUGGGGGAUAUUGCACAAUGGGCGAAAGCCUGAUGCAGCAACGCCGCGUGAGGGAAGACGGUUUUCGGAUUGUAAACCUCUGUCUUUGGUGAAGAAGGAAGUGACGGUAACCAAGGAGGAAGCCACGGCUAACUACGUGCCAGCCGCCGC